RNAcentral lists this transfer RNA (77 nucleotides) under Deltaproteobacteria bacterium. Its description in RNAcentral is "tRNA-Asp". It matches the Rfam family "tRNA". Rfam says of the family: Transfer RNA (tRNA) molecules are approximately 80 nucleotides in length. Their secondary structure includes four short double-helical elements and three loops (D, anti-codon, and T loops). Further hydrogen bonds mediate the characteristic L-shaped molecular structure. tRNAs have two regions of fundamental functional importance: the anti-codon, which is responsible for specific mRNA codon recognition, and the 3' end, to which the tRNAs corresponding amino acid is attached (by aminoacyl-tRNA synthetases). tRNAs cope with the degeneracy of the genetic code in two manners: having more than one tRNA (with a specific anti-codon) for a particular amino acid; and 'wobble' base-pairing, i.e. permitting non-standard base-pairing at the 3rd anti-codon position. The record is from RNAcentral. Lineage: Bacteria; Pseudomonadati; Myxococcota; Myxococcia.
GGGGGCGUGGUGUAGUUGGUUAACACACUGGCCUGUCAAGCCAGAGAUCGCGAGUUCGAGUCUCGUCGCUCCCGCCA